GACGAACGCUGGCGGCGUGCUUAACACAUGCAAGUCGAAUGGUAAGGCCCUUCGGGGUACACGAGUGGCGAACGGGUGAGUAACACGUGGGUGAUCUGCCCUGCACUUCGGGAUAAGCCUGGGAAACUGGGUCUAAUACCGGAUAGGACCACUGCCUGCAUGGGUGGUGGUGGAAAGCUUUUGCGGUGUGGGAUGGGCCCGCGGCCUAGCAGCUUGUUGGUGGGGUGAUGGCCUACCACGGCGACGACGGGUAGCCGGCCUGAGAGGGUGACCGGCCACACUGGGACUGAGAUACGGCCCAGACUCCUACGGGAGGCAGCAGUGGGGAAUAUUGCACAAUGGGCGCAAGCCUGAUGCAGCGACGCCGCGUGAGGGAUGACGGCCUUCGGGUUGUAAACCUCUUUCAGCACCGACGAAGCGCAAGUGACGGUAGGUGCAGAAGAAGGACCGACCAACCACGUGCCAGCCGCCGCCGUAA
RNAcentral lists this ribosomal RNA (478 nucleotides) under uncultured bacterium. RNAcentral's name for it is "partial 16S ribosomal RNA". It matches the Rfam family "Bacterial small subunit ribosomal RNA", at positions 28 to 523 of the family's 1533-position model. The record is from RNAcentral.